This 1180-nucleotide long non-coding RNA is filed under the name Mytilus galloprovincialis (Mediterranean mussel). Lineage: Eukaryota; Metazoa; Mollusca; Bivalvia; Mytilida; Mytilidae. The record is from RNAcentral.
UCUCAUGUGUUUAAUAUAGGGUCCAAGAUCUUCUUUGUUUCUUUUUAGCUGUUUCAAUUGACCCUAUCCAACGGGUUUAACCAACCAACCAACCAACCAACCAACCAACCAACCAACUAAUCAAUCAAUCAAUCAAUUAAUCAUGAUCAUGAUCAUGAUCAAUCAAUCAUGUUUCAUGAAAAAAUUGAAAUUUAAUAUUGUUCUUGCGUCACUUCUGAAAAAAAAUCCACAUGUACUCUGAAACUACAAGUACAAUCGACCUCAAAAUUUGCAGUCAGCAGGGCAUACAUGUACUAAAAGUUUAUAAAAAAAACUUGGUGCAGAUAUCUCUCAAAGUUUUUCCUAGAGAAAAGAAAUGGCAAUGCCGUAAAAAUCGCUUGCUAGGUCCGUAAAUUUCAGUAAAAACCUACAAUAAAAUGUCCGCCCCGAGAUUGAAAUACUAAUCUGUGUUACAAACAGGUGCUGAAAAAUGUACAAUAUCAGAAAAUAAUCAAUAAAUGUGUUUUAAAGUUACACCGGAUCAAUUAAAUCCAAAACAUGCACUGCCCGUGAACUGUGAUCAAGAUGUCAAUUUCCUACAAUGACAAAAGAAAUUACAUUGUGUACAUUCCAUCUCUAUACAUGUUGUCUGUUCAACGUCCCGACCUAAAGAGAAAUAAAAAGACUAAGUUUUUCUUAAUAUAAACCCGCGUCACGUGGUGUCUCCUCAAUCUGGCGCGCGCGCUGUACCUAAAAUAAAAGAAAAACUUUCCAAACUAAACAUGAAACUUCUCCGGUAACAAUAAUAUAGACCCCAUACAGAAACAAACAAACAAGCAAACAAUCAAACAAACAAACACCCCCCCCCCCAAAUUCAAUUAAUUCUAAAGGGGGAAAGACCACCUACAAUUGCUUUUUUAAAGCAAUUGAUUUAUAUUUAUUAUUAUUAUUUUUUUCUUCCGCCAAAUUUUGUUCUUGCGCAAAAUGUUUGUUUCGCAAUAUGUCGCUUAGAUAUUUCCCAUAUGGUAUCGUAUAGUUUAUGCGCUUUUAAAUUUCACCCUGCUAAGACGAACCAUUUUCUAUGUAAGAGUUAUCUCCCUUUUCACUGUUUAACCUCUGUGUGCAUCUCCUUCGUAACAAAAAAAAAUAGCGACAAAAUUCUUUUUACAAAUUGUUCGUUACAUCCUCAGAAAUUUUUGGC